UUCGCUCAUCAUUUACUGUUGGAGGAUAAAUGGUGUACUCCUUUUCAAAGAAGUCUACUUCUGCAGAGCAUCUAUAAACACUGGCCUGUUCAACAAUCACCUGUUUUGAAAAGAUAACAUUCUUCUGCUCAGUCCACUUUAAUUAUAGGUAAGACUUAUUCAACUUGGCCCUUCAACAUUCUUUUACAGAUUUGCUUUAUUUGUGAUUGUGUAAUUUUAGUCCAUCUAUAAAUUUUUUAUCCAACAUUUAACUGAAAUGGUAAAAUGACACCAUUAGCAUUUUACUGGCACAACUGCAUUUUUAUAUGUAAAGUUAACAAAUAGACUAAAUUUAUACAAUUAAAAUAGAAUAAGAUAAGGGUCAUUUGUAGUAUACUUUUUGACAGUGAAAUUCAAAUGAUAGGAAGAUUAGAAGUGCAACUAAAUCUAAUAAAAAUGGGGCAGUUGCUGACCUGUUCUAUUCUUUCAAGUAACUGGUAAAAACUGGUGUUAGAGAAGGCUCUGAAAGUCCCACCAAGGAUCACUUUGUCUGGUAUCAUGUCAAGAUUGUUUCCUCCAUUAAACGAAGUUACAGAGACAACCUAAAGUUGUAAUUGGUUAGGAAGUUAUGCAAAGACAGAUAAGUGGAGAAUGAAAAAAGGAAAAGAAGUUUGAUAUUGGUAGGAUGCAAAACCUGAGAAUCCAGAGGAUUUGAUUCGCGGGAGACAAUACCCUGUAAGCUGAUGACAGAAGCUGAAGCAGCCAAAACAGGAUC
Molecule: long non-coding RNA, 754 nt
Filed under: Phaseolus vulgaris (common bean)
Lineage: Eukaryota; Viridiplantae; Streptophyta; Magnoliopsida; Fabales; Fabaceae
Description: long non-coding RNA (PVUL_LNC001174)
Source: RNAcentral